Molecule: ribosomal RNA, 497 nt
Filed under: uncultured bacterium
Lineage: Bacteria
Description: partial 16S ribosomal RNA
Rfam family: Bacterial small subunit ribosomal RNA
Source: RNAcentral
GAUGAACGCUGGCGGCGUGCCUAAUACAUGCAAGUCGAGCGAACAGACGAGGAGCUUGCUCCUCUGACGUUUGCGGCGGACGGGUGAGUAACACGUGGAUAACCUACCUAUAAGACUGGGAUAACUUCGGAAAACCGGAGCUAAUACCGGAUAAUAUAUUGAACCGCAUGGUUCAAUAGUGAAAGACGGUUUUGCUGUCACUUAUAGAUGGAUCCGCGCCGCAUUAGCUAGUUGGUAAGGUAACGGCUUACCAAGGCAACGAUGCGUAGCCGACCUGAGAGGGUGAUCGGCCACACUGGAACUGAGACACGGUCCAGACUCCUACGGGAGGCAGCAGUAGGGAAUCUUCGGCAAUGGGCGAAAGCCUGACGGAGCAACGCCGCGUGAGUGAUGAAGGUCUUCGGAUCGUAAAACUCUGUUAUUAGGGAAGAACAAAUGUGUAAGUAAAUAUGCACGUCUUGACGGUACCUAAUCAGAAAGCAACGGCUAACUACGUG